GCCGACGUUGAUGAUAAAGGCGUCGGGAAUCGGCUGAACGGCGACCCAAGCAUCGCCUCGGCGAACCUGAAGGCCUUUGACGCGGUCAUCGGCCAGGAGCACGGUUAUGCCGCCCGGAUCCGAAUGCGAGGAGAGGCCGAGAGCGAGGUCCGGCUGGGGGCACUUGGGGUAGAAAUUGACCCUCAUACAAACACCCACGUCGUCCCCGCCGAACGCCUUCUGUAGGAAAUUCUCCUCCAGUCCCAGGCCCGACGACAGCACCUUCAUCACUUUUUCACACAGCUUUAUCAAUUCUCGGCUAUAGUCGUCGGUAGUCUCCCUGCUGAUCCAAAUAAUUAAACGAUAUACCUUCUUUCAACACAAGCGAUAGAGUCGAUACUUCAAAUAUAAUCUGUUUGCAAGUGGCUUCGUCAUGUAUCUACUCUCUAAUUUUAAUCACAAUUCAGCUAUUGUCUCCUCUUCAACAA
This is a non-coding RNA of Elaeis guineensis (African oil palm), 467 nucleotides long. NCBI's taxonomy places the organism in Eukaryota, Viridiplantae, Streptophyta, Magnoliopsida, Arecales, Arecaceae. The record is from RefSeq and is a predicted model, not a curated record.